Dipodomys ordii (Ord's kangaroo rat) is the source of this 2114-nucleotide long non-coding RNA. RefSeq lists it as uncharacterized. NCBI's taxonomy places the organism in Eukaryota, Metazoa, Chordata, Mammalia, Rodentia, Heteromyidae. The transcript is spliced from 3 exons. The record is from RefSeq and is a predicted model, not a curated record.
UCAAAUAUUUUAUUGAGGUAACUUUUCCCAAUUUUAUACACAUAUAUAUGCAUUUAUAUGUACUUAGGAAAGCUAAACAAUGUUCUAAGGCACUUGGAAUUGUGCACAGCAAAGUAUCCUAUUAUAUUAUACCACUAGAUAGAGCACGAGUUUGCUUCUUAAAUAACACAAACACCAAUAUGAAAUAAAAAAGAUAAUACAUAGUCUUUCUUUAAGGUUACAAUAGUGGAAUACAUAUACAUACGUGUGUUUACUGGUAGAUAUUUAUACGUACAUACUAUAAUACAGUACAGAUUAAGGACAACAUAAAGAAAAAGUGUCAGGCUAAUCAGUGUAAUAGUUCCAGUUAUUUACACACACAGAUCUUCUACUGUGUCAGCUGCAGGAAGUGGGAAUCAUUAAGUUAAUUUGAUAAUGCUCACAGUGAAACCAUUUUAAUUACUUUAACCAAAAUGUGAAAUAACAGAAAAAUGCCAAGUGUCUAUUAUUUUAAAAACCACUCUUACAUAGAAAACAAAGCCUACCUUGAAUUUUUAGUAAGUAUUUAACUUGUGAAAUUGGUAUAGAAUGUUUGAACACAUUGGCCCAUUUCAAAGCCACAUGAAAAAAAUACUCAAAACAAAACAAAAAACACGAGUGCUUAUCUUUGAAGUGAGGAAAGUGGUUUGACCCUCAUUUCACUGAUUAUUUCCCAAUAGUAGCUAGUAAUGCAGUAGCAACUUCUCAUUGUGGAGAUGCUCUACAAAUGUAAAGAUACAGUCCAAUCACAAAAGCACCCAGCAAGGGAGAAGCCCUCAGACUGGCAAGUGGCACAUAUAUUCUUAUUGGCAUUUUAAUAUACCAUAAAAUGGACCUGAGGGUGGAGGGUAGAGUAGCAUUCUGCCUCGUUGACUCCUUUCAAUUUAUUCUCGUUAAAAAAAAUACUGCUGUUAAAAAAGCUAAGAAUUUUAAAGCACCAUCUCUAAGUUUACGAUUUGACCAUCUUUAUUAACUCUAUGUUACUCUGCCUUGAGGUUUUCCUUUUUAGGAUUUUAAUAUUUCACAUAAUUACAGUGGCUAACUUAAUUCCAUUUACCUUACAAGAAUUGAAGGUGCAUUGAUCAAUCCGUUUCAGUGACAAAGAGAGACAGAGAAAGCACGCCUCUGUAUUUUUAGCACAGUUUAACCUUGCUUCACGUGGGUCAACUCAUCUUGCUUUGUGUGUGACCAACUCUGCAACACGAAUAUGAACGAGCCCACAGUUUAUCCACAUUUCCAUCAUAAUACAGAAUUCAUACAUCUUCAAAAGGGUGGAACCACAGGACUGUAUUUAUACAGGAGAAUUCAAAUCUGUGUAUGUGGAUUAAGUCCUUCAUUAGAAAGACAAAUACAAAAUUCUUUGAAACUGGGAGGAGUGUGGAGAGGCAAUAUAACAUUAUGGGGUGACUUCCAAGAGCAUUGAAUUGUUUUAGGUGCAUUAUUAUGAGUCACUGUGUUUUAACUCUUGCAAUAACCCUGAUGAUUGACAAGGACUAUGACCAAUAGGGUAGUUCUGAAGUAAACAAAACAUACAAAACACCCAACUGCUUCAUGUAGAAAACCUCUCCUUUAAGUAUACACAGGCCAAGGGUGAGUCACUACACCUAAUGCCCACUAUAAUUGCCAGGACUGCUCAGUGAAAACUGCAUGCAGGCAGAAGACUUGGAAAAGUGAUGGUGGUCUGAGAAAAAGCAAGGAGGUGACACAAGGCUUAGGAAGCGGCACUUUUUCCUGCGUUUUCUCAAAUGGCAGCAGUUGGUACUCGGGUAGAGGGGUAAUACCCUCCAAUGGUGGUAUGUGAACAAGGAGGAAGGCUUUUAGGUUUGGUUUUCACAAUGACUGGGGAUGCUGCUGAUGGUCAGUCACAGGGGCCUGGGAUAUUAAAUGUUUGCCAUGCAUGGGGGCAUUUCUGUACAACAAAAAUCAUUCUGAUCCAAAUGCGGACAGCACCCCACUGAGAAGCACUGAUCAACAGUACUUUGCUGAUAUGUGUAGCUGCGUUAGCAAUGUGGCAAGCUAAAUGACAUUUUUGGUGUGGUGGUAGUGGUUGUGGUGGUGGUGUAUGUGUUAGAGGUUGUGUGUGUGUGUGUGUGUGU